Molecule: non-coding RNA, 77 nt
Filed under: Pseudopedinella elastica
Lineage: Eukaryota; Dictyochophyceae; Pedinellales
Source: RNAcentral
CCAAGAGGAAAAUCCUCAAGGUUUGCAGGCUCUUUCUCCGAAGCCAGUAGUGACCGCGCCCCAAGAAGAAACCCCAG